This 497-nucleotide ribosomal RNA is filed under the name uncultured bacterium. RNAcentral describes it as "partial 16S ribosomal RNA". It matches the Rfam family "Bacterial small subunit ribosomal RNA", at positions 28 to 507 of the family's 1533-position model. The record is from RNAcentral.
GAUGAACGCUGGCGGCGUGCCUAAUACAUGCAAGUCGAGCGAACGGACGAGAAGCUUGCUUCUCUGAUGUUAGCGGCGGACGGGUGGGUAACACGUGGAUAACCUACUUAUAAGACUGGGAUAACUUUGGGAAACCGGAGCUAAUACCGGAUAAUAUUUUGAACCGCAUGGUUCAAAAGUGAAAGACGGUCUUGCUGUCACUUAUAGAUGGAUCCGCGCUGCAUUAGCUAGUUGGUAAGGUAACGGCUUACCAAGGCAACGAUGCAUAGCCGACCUGAGAGGGUGAUCGGCCACACUGGAACUGAGACACGGUCCAGACUCCUACGGGAGGCAGCAGUAGGGAAUCUUCCGCAAUGGGCGAAAGCCUGACGGAGCAACGCCGCGUGAGUGAUGAAGGUCUUCGGAUCGUAAAACUCUGUUAUUAGGGAAGAACAUAUGUGUAAGUAACUGUGCACAUCUUGACGGUACCUAAUCAGAAAGCCACGGCUAACUACGUG